CUCAUUAAAUCAGUUAUAGUUUAUUUGAUGGUCUCUUUAGUUUCUUUUACCUACUUGGAUAACCGUGGUAAUUCUAGAUCUAAUACAUGCGCAAGGUCCCAAGCGCGGAGAGUAGGGCUUCACGGCUUUAUUCUUGCAUGCGCAGAGGGAUGUAUUUAUUAGGUUAAACAACCAGCAUUUUCAAUAUCAUCUGGUGAUUCAUAGUAACUCUUUCGGAUCGCAUUCAUG
This 228-nucleotide ribosomal RNA is filed under the name uncultured Acanthamoeba. RNAcentral's name for it is "partial 18S ribosomal RNA". It matches the Rfam family "Eukaryotic small subunit ribosomal RNA", at positions 97 to 279 of the family's 1831-position model. The record is from RNAcentral. Lineage: Eukaryota; Discosea; Longamoebia; Acanthamoebidae.